AGCGUAGACGGUGUGGCAAGUCUGAUGUGAGAGGCAUGGGCUCAACCUGUGGACUGCAUUGGAAACUGUCAUACUUGAGUGCCGGAGGGGUAAGCGGAAUUCCUAGUGUAGCGGUGAAAUGCGUAGAUAUUAGGAGGAACACCAGUGGCGAAGGCGGCUUACUGGACGGUAACUGACGUUGAGGCUCGAAAGCGUGGGGAGCAAACA
RNAcentral lists this ribosomal RNA (207 nucleotides) under uncultured bacterium. RNAcentral describes it as "partial 16S ribosomal RNA". It matches the Rfam family "Bacterial small subunit ribosomal RNA", at positions 568 to 774 of the family's 1533-position model. The record is from RNAcentral.